AGUUCGUGGAGUGAUCUGUCUGCUUAAUUGCGUUUCAAAAUUUAACUUGAGGACCGGGUUUUGGUUUGGCUAGUGGUUCUACGAUGACUGUGAACUGUCAUGUCUUCGGAUGUGCGACUAUUGGUCUAGGAUCACAUGACUUGCCCCUGGGACUCUUUUGAACGCAACGGACGUGAUUGCAACCCCUUGUUGAGAUUAGAGAUAGUCUCGAUAUUCACUGGACAAACUGGCUGCUUUAUGCAGUCUUGUUGAAUGGUGGAUAAACUCGGGGGACUGCUGACUAUAACCAUUUCUCAAAACAGAGGAAGGUUGCGGCAAUAACAGGUCUGUGAUGCCCUCAGAUGUCCCGGGCUGCACACGUGCUACAAUGAGUGGCGCAAUGUGCUAAUGUUUAAGGGAUAAGAGUGUGGUCAGUAGAACGUCGGGAUUUCCCCUGACGUCUCCCCCGCACGAUUAUCAGCCUUCCCUUAACAGGGCGGGCAACCUUUUCAAAAUACUGGUUUGAUGUUAAAGUAUUGAGUCGUUUUUUUUGGAUGGUGGUUUGUUAACCAAUACCAUCCGGCAACUGCUCGCGAGUUUGUGGUUCUGGCGACUC
Molecule: ribosomal RNA, 595 nt
Filed under: Globigerinoides ruber albus
Lineage: Eukaryota; Foraminifera; Rotaliida; Globigerinidae
Description: partial small subunit ribosomal RNA
Rfam family: Eukaryotic small subunit ribosomal RNA
Source: RNAcentral